GUGUCAGCAGCCGCGGUAAGACGAACCGUGCAAACGUUGUUCGGAAUCACUGGGCUUAAAGGGCGCGUAGGCGGGCCAGCCAGUCUGUGGUGAAAGCCUCCAGCUUAACUGGAGAAGUGCCGUGGAUACUGCUGGCCUCGAGGAGGGUAGGGGCAUCUGGAACGGUCGGUGGAGCGGUGAAAUGCGUUGAUAUCGACCGGAACUCCGGUGGCGAAGGCGAGGUGCUGGGCCCUUUCUGACGCUGAUGCGCGAAAGCCAGGGGAGCAAACGGGAUUAGAUACCCCCGUAGUCC
This 292-nucleotide ribosomal RNA is filed under the name uncultured bacterium. RNAcentral describes it as "partial 16S ribosomal RNA". It matches the Rfam family "Bacterial small subunit ribosomal RNA", at positions 505 to 796 of the family's 1533-position model. The record is from RNAcentral.